GCAGAGAGCAGAGGAGUUGUUCAAUGGUGUGGAGUUUUAAAGCUCUGGUGUACAGUAAUGUACAAAUACAGCUGACACCACUGCAUUCUAAACUUUAAGAAGAAAUAAGAUGGACAAGAAAACAAGAACCUCUGGAGACACAUCUCCAGGUAGCAGCAUUUUGUAAAAUCUUUCUCUGUGAAUCGAGUUCAAGGCUGGAGAACACUAACUCUCAUGAUUCACUUCACUGGAAUUAUCUGAGGAAGUUUUAAAAUGACAAGGACUUGAAUCCACCCUCACAAAAUCCCGAUUUCAUUGAGCACUGUGUGAACACACUCCAGAUAAAAAGUAUUCUUUUCCCCCUGGACAACAAGAUAAUUUUAAAAUUACAAUUCUUUAUACUUCUGUUUUCUGAAGAUUCUACCAAAUUUGGAAUGGAGAUGGAACAAUUGGACGCCAUCUGCAAUUUCGCUCACAGGGAGGGGAUCUCGUGGUCGAAUUCUCUCUACCCACGAUUACUUGAGCUAUUUGACCAAUGACUCGGCAUCCCAGGGAAAACUGUUUUCUCCUUGCUCCUCCCAGGACUCCCAUGAGUGCCCCAGAAAUGCCCAUAAUUCAAUGUUGAUAAUCGAGACCCAGUUCAGGUGACCUGAAUCUUAUCCCCCAGCAUGAACUGGUUUCUUAAACGAUUUACUUAUAAAGAACACAAAGGUCUAAAAGCUUCAUGGAACACUUUCUACAAACACUGUGAAGGCACCCCACAUUAAAUCUACUGCCCCCAGAGUACA
Long non-coding RNA from Mastomys coucha (southern multimammate mouse), 767 nucleotides. RefSeq lists it as uncharacterized. The record is from RefSeq and is a predicted model, not a curated record. The transcript has 2 exons. Lineage: Eukaryota; Metazoa; Chordata; Mammalia; Rodentia; Muridae.